Molecule: ribosomal RNA, 497 nt
Filed under: uncultured bacterium
Lineage: Bacteria
Description: partial 16S ribosomal RNA
Rfam family: Bacterial small subunit ribosomal RNA
Source: RNAcentral
GACGAACGCUGGCGGCGUGCCUAAUACAUGCAAGUUGAGCGAUGAAGAUUGGUGCUUGCACCAAUUUGAAGAGCAGCGAACGGGUGAGUAACGCGUGGGGAAUCUGCCUUUGAGCGGGGGACAACAUUUGGAAACGAAUGCUAAUACCGCAUAAUAACUUUAAACAUAAGUUUUAAGUUUGAAAGAUGCAAUUGCAUCACUCAAAGAUGAUCCCGCGUUGUAUUAGCUAGUUGGUGAGGUAAAGGCUCACCAAGGCGAUGAUACAUAGCCGACCUGAGAGGGUGAUCGGCCACAUUGGGACUGAGACACGGCCCAAACUCCUACGGGAGGCAGCAGUAGGGAAUCUUCGGCAAUGGACGAAAGUCUGACCGAGCAACGCCGCGUGAGUGAAGAAGGUUUUCGGAUCGUAAAACUCUGUUGGUAGAGAAGAACGUUGGUGAGAGUGGAAAGCUCAUCAAGUGACGGUAACUACCCAGAAAGGGACGGGUAACUACGUG